RNAcentral lists this ribosomal RNA (484 nucleotides) under uncultured bacterium. RNAcentral describes it as "partial 16S ribosomal RNA". It matches the Rfam family "Bacterial small subunit ribosomal RNA", at positions 30 to 507 of the family's 1533-position model. The record is from RNAcentral.
AUUGAACGCUGGCGGCAGGCCUAACACAUGCAAGUCGAGCGGAUGAAGGGAGCUUGCUCCUGGAUUCAGUGGCGGACGGGUGAGUAAUGCCUAGGAAUCUGCCUGGCAGUGGGGGAUAACGUCCGGAAAUGGGCGCUAAUACCGCAUACGUCCUGAGGGAGAAAGUGGGGGAUCUUCGGACCUCACGCUAUCAGAUGAGCCUAGGUCGGAUUAGCUAGUUGGUGGGGUAAAGGCCUACCAAGGCGACGAUCCGUAACUGGUCUGAGAGGAUGAUCAGUCACACUGGAACUGAGACACGGUCCAGACUCCUACGGGAGGCAGCAGUGGGGAAUAUUGGACAAUGGGCGAAAGCCUGAUCCAGCCAUGCCGCGUGUGUGAAGAAGGUCUUCGGAUUGUAAAGCACUUUAAGUUGGGAGGAAGAGCAGUAAGUUAAUACCUUGCUGUUUUGACGUUACCAACAGAAUAAGCACCGGCUAACUUCGUG